AUGUCAAAUUUGCUAUCUUGCUAGCUGUGGUUGGCCCAGAGGGCUGCUACUCCUUCUCUAUUUGGUUGAAAAUGCGGUUAUUACAGAAUUUGACGAUUUGCAGCGGUGCUGUUUUAGGCGUCGUCAAAUUCCGUCACACUGUCUCAUUCUGUAAUGGCAGCAUUUUGAGGCAUUCAUAGAGGUCGCCACGGCCGUCUCGACCAAUCAGAUCUGAUAUGAUGGUGAACUUAAAAAGUCCCUCUCGCUCUCUUUUUAACGAAAUCAGCGUUCAUUGUGGCGAGUAUGAAACACAUUUAUUGACUGCGGCGCCACCAGUGGAAGGGACGCGAAAUUGGGCCACUGGGCCUGGUCCAUUCAACUUCUGCGUGACACAGGUUGUGGGGUCCCGUAAUCUAACUGGUCACUCAUUUCCUAACACGACGUGCGUGUUCGCCCGUGUCCUUGAACUGCCCUGUUCUCUGGAACCAGCAAGGCUGCCUCCUGGAUCUGUGGGUGUCAGUCCUAUCCGCCUCGUUCAACGAAUCGCAUCGCUGUAGCCCAUCCGUCCAACCUUGUGAGCCCCUCAGCGAUGAUCGUCAAAGGCCCGAGCGUGCUGGAGGAAACAGGGACGGGAGCAAUGGCAAGCAACGAGGCUACAGGGACAGCCGACGAGGCUACAGGGACAGCCGACGAGGCUACAGGGACAGCCGACGAGGCUACAGGGCCAGCCACCAGCGUAGAAUUGGCUGCCACCAGGGCCGCUCUGGCUGCCACUAUGACUGCCCUGAUAGCCAAAGAGGCCGCCCUGCGGGAGGCACUACUUUGACUGGAGGAGAGCUGCAGGCGGGUGGUCAUGGAGGCGGUCACGAGGCGGCUUCACCGCUCAGGUGGAUGAGGUGGAAGCAAGUUCCAUUUCUCCCUCUCAGGGCCGAAACACAUUCAAGAAUAAAAUCUAUCCAAUAAAAA
Long non-coding RNA from Dermacentor albipictus, 945 nucleotides. RefSeq lists it as uncharacterized. The record is from RefSeq and is a predicted model, not a curated record. Lineage: Eukaryota; Metazoa; Arthropoda; Arachnida; Ixodida; Ixodidae.